This 447-nucleotide ribosomal RNA is filed under the name uncultured bacterium. RNAcentral's name for it is "bacterial SSU rRNA". It matches the Rfam family "Bacterial small subunit ribosomal RNA", at positions 329 to 792 of the family's 1533-position model. The record is from RNAcentral.
CACCAGACUCCUACGGGAGGCAGCAGUGGGGAAUAUUGGGCAAUGGGCGCAAGCCUGACCCAGCAACGCCGCGUGAAGGAAGAAGGCUUUCGGGUUGUAAACUUCUUUUGACAGGGAAGAGCAGAAGACGGUACCUGUCGAAUAAGCCACGGCUAACUACGUGCCAGCAGCCGCGGUAAUACGUAGGUGGCAAGCGUUAUCCGGAUUUACUGGGUGUAAAGGGAGCGUAGGCGGGGAUGCAAGUUGGGUGUCAAAACUACCGGCUCAACUGGUAGUCGCACUCAAAACUGCAGCUCUUGAGUGAAGUAGAGGCAGGCGGAAUUCCUAGUGUAGCGGUGAAAUGCGUAGAUAUUAGGAAGAACACCAGUGGCGAAGGCGGCUUUCUGGACUGAAACUGACGCUGAGGCACGAAAGCGUGGGGAGCGAACAGGAUUAGAUACCCCAGUA